ACGUUCUUUUUGUUGGUUUUACUUUUACUUUGUGCGCUGCGCUUUGAAAUUCAAAUAAAAACUCAAAAAACUU
RNAcentral lists this small nucleolar RNA (73 nucleotides) under Drosophila guanche. The record is from RNAcentral. Lineage: Eukaryota; Metazoa; Arthropoda; Insecta; Diptera; Drosophilidae.